UUUUAUUUGAGAGUUUGAUCCUGGCUCAGGAUGAACGCUGGCGGCGUGCCUAACACAUGCCAGUUGAGCGAUUUACUUCGGUAAAGAGCGGCGGACGGGUGAGUAACGCGUGGGUAACCUACCCUGUACACCCGGAUAACAUACCGAAAGGUAUGCUAAUACGGGAUAAUAUAUUUGAGAGGCAUCUC
This 188-nucleotide ribosomal RNA is filed under the name Clostridioides difficile. Its description in RNAcentral is "partial 16S ribosomal RNA". It matches the Rfam family "Bacterial small subunit ribosomal RNA", at positions 1 to 195 of the family's 1533-position model. The record is from RNAcentral. Lineage: Bacteria; Bacillati; Bacillota; Clostridia; Peptostreptococcales; Peptostreptococcaceae.